AGUGGCGAACGGGUGAGUAACACGUGAGCAACCUGCCUUUCAGUGGGGGACAACAUUUGGAAACGAAUGCUAAUACCGCAUAAGACCACAGUGUCGCAUGGCACAGGGGUCAAAGGAUUUAUCCGCUGAAAGAUGGGCUCGCGUCCGAUUAGCUAGAUGGUGAGGUAACGGCCCACCAAGGCGACGAUCGGUAGCCGGACUGAGAGGUUGAACGCCCACAUUGGGACUGAGACACGGCCCAGACUCCUACGGGAGGCAGCAGUGGGGAAUAUUGCACAAUGGGGGAAACCCUGAUGCAGCGACGCCGCGUGGAGGAAGAAGGUCUUCGGAUUGUAAACUCCUGUUGUUGAGGAAGAUAAUGACGGUACUCAACAAGGAAGUGACGGCUAACUACGUGCCAGCAGCCGCGGUAAAACGUAGGUCACAAGCGUUGUCCGGAAUUACUGGGUGUAAAGGGAGCGCAGGCGGGAAGACAAGUUGGAAGUGCAAUCCAUGGGCUCAACCCAUGAACUGCUUUCAAAACUGUUUUUCUUGAGUAGUGCAGAGGUAGGCGGAAUUCCCGGUGUAGCGGUGGAAUGCGUAGAUAUCGGGAGGAACACCAGUGGCGAAGGCGGCCUACUGGGCACCAACUGACGCUGAGGCUCGAAAGUGUGGGUAGCAAACAGGAUUAGAUACCCUGGUAGUCCACACUGUAAACGAUGAUUACUAGGUGUUGGAGGAUUGACCCCUUCAGUG
Molecule: ribosomal RNA, 735 nt
Filed under: uncultured bacterium
Lineage: Bacteria
Description: bacterial SSU rRNA
Rfam family: Bacterial small subunit ribosomal RNA
Source: RNAcentral